CCCUUAGAUGUUCUGGGCGGCCCGCGCACUACAAUGGCGUGUGCAGCGAGUGCCGAAGUAGAGUUUUCCGAGGUAUUCUUGCAAUGCUCGUUUUGAUGGGGAUAGACCCUUGCAACUGUUGGUUUUGAACGAGGAAUUCCUUGUAAGCAUGGUUUAUCAUCCGACGCUGAAUGCGUCCCUGCCCUUUGUACACACCGCCCGUCGCCCCUACCGAUGAGUCGUCCGGUGAAGUUCGUAGACCUCGUGAUCGCGGAUCACUGGGGGAAGCAAAAUGAACCUCGCGGUUUAGAGGAAGGAGAAGUCGUAACA
Molecule: ribosomal RNA, 309 nt
Filed under: uncultured eukaryote
Lineage: Eukaryota
Description: partial 18S ribosomal RNA
Rfam family: Eukaryotic small subunit ribosomal RNA
Source: RNAcentral